This 2003-nucleotide unclassified non-coding RNA is filed under the name Hevea brasiliensis (rubber tree). The record is from RNAcentral. Lineage: Eukaryota; Viridiplantae; Streptophyta; Magnoliopsida; Malpighiales; Euphorbiaceae.
CCUCUACCGAGCUAAGGGACUCAGUCCUACAACGAAGGUGUUCGCCGAGCUACAUAGGCUAACUCAUCGAAAGGACGAUGAGUACUGGUUCUUUCAAGCAAAAUCGCACUGUGGGCUCUUUACCGAUCUACCCUCCUCACUGAAGAAUUGGAAAAAUCGUUUCUUCAUGUUGAAGAGCAAGAUUCCGAACGAUUUUGAAGGUUUCACCUGAAGCUGGCAAUAUAUGGUCCCGCCACUUUCGAAGCAUGUCGCCUUGAGUAGGGAUAAGGGCGCCAUGGUAAUGGAGCUAAAGGAUCAGGCGGCCACUCAGAAGUUCUCCUGUUUAGAUGCGGUGACUGCCGAGCUGCAUUAUUGGACUAUACAGCUGAUCACCGGCCAAGAUCGCGAGCUUCCGCUCUCUGACCUCGACAUCGGUACUUUCUAUAUCUCAAAUCUCAGGACCUUAGCGAUCUCACUGACCUCUUCUUUGUGCAGGUAUAGCAAGCGGCGAAGCUUCCAAAGAGAGCCGAAAGCAAAAGAGAGGUCUCCCGGAAAGUGCGGGAGAUGAAGCGAUCCGAGCUGCUCCAGACACCCAGGCAUGAAGCUGAGGAAAUGCAAGGGGGCUCAUCUCAACCUUCGGGGCAGCCGAUUCCCGAGGUAGAAGUGAUCCGAUCUCCUCCUCGCCAAGAAGAGCCGCCUCCACCUCCUCCAGUCGCUUCGAGCGCGGAAGGGGGUCCUUCUCAACCUCCUGUAAGGACCCUUUCCCGCGGUGCCCAAAUCUUGAUCCAUUCGCUGGAGAAGAACUGCACGUUUCGAGAGAACCCGGGUUUUGCUAAGGUCUUGGGGUCCUCCAUCUGCCUUCGGGAAGAUCGGGAUAGACUGUCUCCGGAUAAUCUUGAUGACAUCCUGACCAGAUCUAUGAGCCUGAACGUGAGUGCUUGGUGAACCAGCACAUUGUUCGGGAGAAGGCUCACCGCCUGGGUAAGGAGGUCGAGAAAAUGGGUCAUGAAGUGGCUUCCCUCCGAUCCCAACUCUCAUCCGCUCAGAACUACAUAUCUGAAAUUGAGGGGCGGAUGAAAUUCUACGAGGAUAAACUGGCCGAGCAAGCUCAUGUUCUUGAAGAGGUUCGGGCGCUCCGAGCCGCUGAUGUUGCUUGCCUCACUGAGGAACUCAAAGCAAAAGAAGAAGAGGCAGUGACAAGGGAGGCCGGCGCUUAUGUGAACGCCCAUGGGGAUCGCUUGGCCGAGCUCAGGAAGCGUUAUCCCGAGGAGGACUUUUCCUGGAUGGUGGACUUGGCUCCCCAAGACGAAGAAGAUAGCAAGGAGGAGGCUGAAGAUGAUAGAGGGGGUGAACAAAAUGUUCACCCCCAGCCGAAUGACUUGUAUAUAUUUUAAUUUGAAAUGAAAUGAAGUUCCUUUUUUUGUUCAAUGACUGGAUGAGAUCGGAAAGUAUCUAAGUUGCAUAAGCGCCUAAUUGUCUGAACAUAUUAGAAUAACUUGAAAGCAAUUAUUAAUCUAUGUAUGAGAGAUCAGUAAAACAUUAUAAACAUGAGAUCGGCCUAAAACGAUAAUAAACACUGAACGGAACUUUAGAUUAUUAAAAUUGAAAACCUGAUCUGAACACUUUGGAUCGGAAGCAUCAUUAAACCAGAUUAAAGCCUUAACUUGAUUGAACGAUUAUCCAUAAAAUUUUAAAAGGGAAAUCGGAAAUAAAACUGGAUGGGAUGAAGACCUAAUGUUGGUUUGAUUUCGUUUGACGAGAGAUCGGAAAUGUGAUUAACUGGCCAAGAGACCUAAUAAUUGGUUCAAGAGAUCGGUAAGGAUUUGAGCGAUACGGAAACUUGGUAUUGGUUCGGUUUCUUUGGAGAGAGAUCGGAAAUGUGAUCGUCUGGCAAGGAGACUUGGUGUCGGUUUAGAUCCUUAUGAAGAGAGAUCGGAAACGAACGGAGACUUGGUGAUGGGGAUCGAUUUCACAGUUUAUUGAUUUCGGGGAUCGGCCAAAAUAUGGUAUCGACACUUUACAUA